Molecule: long non-coding RNA, 2390 nt
Filed under: Equus caballus (horse)
Lineage: Eukaryota; Metazoa; Chordata; Mammalia; Perissodactyla; Equidae
Description: lncRNA (ENSECAG00000054523.1)
Source: RNAcentral
GCAGGAAACGAGCCCCAUUUUCGUUACCUUCGAUCGCCGGCCCCCCCGCUGCUUCUCGCGGCCGCAUCGGGGGCUGCGGCGGCGCUGCACUCGCGGUGGCCCCGCCGCCGGGUCGCGCCGUCCCCCGGCCGAGCUGCCUCCGCUCGCGGCCGGAACCCCGGCUCCAGCCCCGCGCCCGCCCGGGGUCGGCGGCGCGGCUCCCACCCGGGCCCGGGCCCUGCUGGGUCCUAGCGCGCGCCGCCGCCGCCCGCGGCCGGGCUGCAGCCCGCACGUACGGCGGGCAGCUCGCGAGCACGGUGACUGCCCGGGAAAACCGAAAAAGCCGUCAGCCUCUUUCCAAACUGGACGCUGGAGGUGCAGAGGAACUGGAGCUUAAUGUCAAAUCCUGGCAGAAGAUGUCGAAAGAAAAACACUGGCUCCCACUGAACUCACGGAAGGCGGAUGUUCGUAUCUGCAGCCCCAGGGUAACGCGGCGGGCAGUAACUGGUUCCCGUAGCUUCGCCCCGUGCGCUUGUGAUAUUGUACGUUCACAGACGCUCCUAAGGAAGAGGCUAAGCUUGGCAGCAUCUUUGGAAGAUGUGGAUGACUUUCCUGGGGAACUACUUGGAAAGAUUAAUGCAAAACUCACUGGAUGAAGGGGCUGGCCCUGUGGCCGAGUGGUUAAGAUCACGCGCUCUGCUUCAGCGGCCCGGAGUUCACUGGUUCAGAUCCUGAGUGCAGACCUGAGCACCACUCAUCAAGCCAUGCUGAGGUGGCGUCCCACAAAGAAGAAUUAGAAGGACCUACAACUAGAAUAUACAACUAUGUACUGGGGCUUUGGGGUGGGGGAGGGGGGAAGAGGAAGAUUGGCAACAGAUGUUAGCUUAGGGCCAAUCUUCCUCACCAGAAAGUAUACUUUAAAAAAAACUUUCUAGAUGAGUUAAUGUGAUCCUUUCAGUGAAAACUGGUCUAAUUACUUUAUAGUCGUAUCAUCCAUUUGGCCUUUAAAUGUGACAAAUGCCAGAUUUGAAGGAAUCUUAGCACCAAUAGGAAGUGAUGAGAAGCUCAAAAGAAAUGCUGGUGGUGAACCAUUUCUCAAGUUAGAGCACACCAGAAGAGGUACUGGUCAAAAGAAACUGUCAUUCAUUCAUUCAUUCAGUUGUGUAUAUCUCAGUCAUCAAAAACCUGAUAUGAGUACAGCACUGUUCUAGGCUCUGCAUAUGAACAUUAAGUAAUGCCCUCAAAGCACUCCUUGUCAUACGGAGCCCCCGGAAAGGCAAACAGUUGCAGAGCAGUGGUGUAAAUACUGCAGCAAAACCAUGUCACAGGUGCACUGUGUUGAAAUGCCCACUAGCCCGGAUCUUGGCCAGUUUGUCUUUAGAGCCGUUCUCUGCCCUGCCCUCUGCUCUGUGUUGCUAGGGGCUGACUCUAGCAGGCUGAGUUUCACAGACUCCUGAAUCCAUUGGCCAAUGGCUGGGUAUGGUCAAUGGGAGGCACUGGAGGGAGAGUGCAAGUGGGAAGAAAGGAGAAGCCGGGGAAUUUCUUCACCUCCCUCUUGCCUCUGGUAGCAUCUCCAGUAGUGGCUGGAUCUGGCUGAGGCUCCUGCCAGGUGACCCAGCCCCUGGCUUAGGUAACACCACCACUUCCUGUUAACUCUCCAGUUUAGGGAUGUUAAUGGCUUUCUGCUGAAAUUACUUUUGGGGUAGCUUCACCUUCCUCUGUUUGCAUCUCACAUCCUCCAUCACCUGUGUGAGCAAUCCCCUGUGUUAAAUUCCUUCUGUGCAUAUCAGCAGAUUCCAAGGGAAGGGCAUCUUACAAAAGGCCUGGGAAGUACUCCUCAAAACUAUCUAGAUCAUUGGGGCUGGCCCCGUGGCCGAGUGGUUAAGUUCGUGCACUCUGCUGCAGGCGGCCCAGUGUUUCGUUGGUUCGAAUCCUGGGCGCGGACAUGGCACUGCUCAUCAAACCACACUGAGGCAGCGUCCCACAUGCCACAACUAGAAGGACCCACAACGAAGAAUAUACAACUAUGUACCGGGGGGCUUUGGGGAGAAAAAGGAAAAAAUAAAAUCUUUAAAAAAAAAAAAAACUAUCUAGAUCAUUAAAAACCAGGACAUGAUGGAGAAACCGUUACAGCAAAGAGGAACUCAAGGAGAAAUGACAAUUAAAUGUAUUGUAUGCUGGAUGGGAUCCUGGGACCGAAAAAGGACAUCAGGUAAAAACUAAGGAAAUCCGAAUAAAGUGUGGACUUUAGCUAGUAAUAAAGUAUGAAUAUUGGUUCAUUAAUUAUAACAAAUGUACCAUCCAUUCACAGGUAUGAUGUUUGUAAUAGGGGAAAUUGGGUAUGACGCAUGAGGGAACUCUCUGUACUAUUUUCUCAAUUUUUCUGUAAAUCUAAAACUCUUAUAAAAAAU